GGAGGAAGAAAAACAGAUCUGAUUACCGUACGGCGUAAAUCUAACCGAAAGGGGAUCCUCCAGUUUUAUCUGCGCCAGCUCCGGUUUCCACGCGUCAGUUACGCAACAGACAGAUUUUAAACAGAUUAAUUGCAGAUUAAUCACCUUAAACACUCAACAGCUACUCUUUUCAACGGACUGCUGACCACUUUAAUGACAUAGAGCCCCGCCAAUCUCGGGGGCUGCGGGUACUGUACCCGAUGGUCAAUUUUUUCUUUUUCAAGAUUUC
RNAcentral lists this long non-coding RNA (268 nucleotides) under Setaria viridis. RNAcentral's name for it is "long non-coding RNA (SVIR_LNC005625)". Lineage: Eukaryota; Viridiplantae; Streptophyta; Magnoliopsida; Poales; Poaceae. The record is from RNAcentral.